RNAcentral lists this transfer RNA (73 nucleotides) under Candidatus Woesearchaeota archaeon. RNAcentral describes it as "tRNA-Ile". It matches the Rfam family "tRNA". Rfam says of the family: Transfer RNA (tRNA) molecules are approximately 80 nucleotides in length. Their secondary structure includes four short double-helical elements and three loops (D, anti-codon, and T loops). Lineage: Archaea; Nanobdellati; Candidatus Woesearchaeota. The record is from RNAcentral.
GGAGGUGUAGUUCAAUGGUGAGAACAGCGGUCUUAUAAGCCGUAGGUUACAGGUUCGACUCCUGUCAUCUCCA